RNAcentral lists this long non-coding RNA (952 nucleotides) under Homo sapiens (human). RNAcentral's name for it is "non-protein coding DIO3OS:7". The stretch from base 12 to 85 matches the Rfam family "mir-1247 microRNA precursor family". The record is from RNAcentral. Lineage: Eukaryota; Metazoa; Chordata; Mammalia; Primates; Hominidae.
CAGCCCCGGCCGCUGGGCGCACCCGUCCCGUUCGUCCCCGGACGUUGCUCUCUACCCCGGGAACGUCGAGACUGGAGCGCCCGAACUGAGCCACCUUCGCGGACCCCGAGAGCGGCGGCGCGACUCACCGCGGAGGCGCCCGGACGCGUCAAGGAGUGGAUUUCAGGAUUCCUCUAAGAAGCUUUGGAAUGCCAGAAGAUACCACAAGUGAGAAGAAAAAAUAAAACAAGAGGAAGGAUAUACUUCCCAUAAGGGGACAAAGUACAGCCGCAGUGUCCUCCGCUUGGGCCAUGGAACAGCUGCAGGUUUUGCCCUGAUUACCCUGGUGGUAAAGUCUGAUUGGCUAUGAUUCCCGGUGUCCAGAAGAUAAACACGGGCGGUGCAGCGGAGCCACACGCAUGCCUGUGCAUGGCCACGCCAGUGUCCUACGGGCCUGAUGGAAAGGUGGCAGGCGAAAUGCACCUGGCCUCAGCGUCAGGGGCUGUGAAUGCAGUAGCACUUGUAGCUAUGAGGUCAGAGUGGACUAGGAUGGUCCUUCCACCAAGAAGCCUGGGCCUUCCUGCUCUUCGUUGUCCAGCUGCAGAAACUGAUCUCAUCCCUCAGGGCUUGGCACAACUGCCCCUUCCUCCUCACAUUCCCAAAUAUACCUACCCCUCCCCAACUCAAUCCUCCUCACCAGACUGUGGCUCCAGGAUGACAGGGCAGAGUUGGACUCACCUGUGUCUGCCAGGCCAGCUCACCGUGGGGGCAGGUCCCAAGAGGCCUCUGGAUUUGGACCAACUUCCAGUGUGACCUUGAACAAGGCCUUCGCCUCCCUCAGCCUCCGUUGCAUGAGGGGUUGUGCUGGCACAUCUCAGAGCAGGUAGCGCUACCUGGUGAGUUGAGGGCUCUGUCCAUCAUCUUUGUCACUGUAAUGCUGGGUAACAAAUAAACACGAAACAAUGAGUGCUCG